ACGCCUUAUACAUGCAAGUCGAACGAAGUAGCAAUACUUAGUGGCAGACGGGUGAGUAACAUGUAGGUAUCUUCCCUUUGGUGAGGAAUAACACGAGGAAACUUGUGCUAAUACCUCAUAAGUCUUUACGGAGAAAGCUUUAUGCGCCAAAGGAUGAGCCUGCACUUGAUUAGUUUGUUGGUGGGGUAAUGGCCUACCAAGACUUUGAUCUAUAGCUGAUCUGAGAGGAUGAUCAGCCACAUUGGGACUGAGACACGGCCCAAACUCCUACGGGAGGCAGCAGUAGGGAAUAUUGCACAAUGGAGGAAACUCUGAUGCAGCGAUGCCGCGUGAGUGAAGAAGGCCUUUGGGUUGUAAAGCUCUUUCGUCGGGGAAGAAAAUGACUGUACCCGAAUAAGAAGGUCCGGCUAACUUCGUGCCAGCAGCCGCGGUAAUACGAAGGGACCUAGCGUAGUUCGGAAUUACUGGGCUUAAAGAGUUCGUAGGUGGUUAAAAAAGUUGGUGGUGAAAUCCCAGAGCUUAACUCUGGAACUGCCAUCAAAACUUUUUAGCUAGAGUAUGAUAGAGGAAAGCAGAAUUUCUAGUGUAGAGGUGAAAUUCGUAGAUAUUAGAAAGAAUACCGAUUGCGAAGGCAGCUUUCUGGAUCAUUACUGACGCUGAGGAACGAAAGCAUGGGUAGCGAAGAGGAUUAGAUACCCUCGUAGUCCAUGCCGUAAACGAUGUGUGUUAGACGUUGGAAAUUUAUUUUCAGUGUCGCAGCGAAAGCAUUAAACACACCGC
RNAcentral lists this ribosomal RNA (780 nucleotides) under uncultured Pelagibacteraceae bacterium. Its description in RNAcentral is "bacterial SSU rRNA". It matches the Rfam family "Bacterial small subunit ribosomal RNA", at positions 44 to 872 of the family's 1533-position model. Lineage: Bacteria; Pseudomonadati; Pseudomonadota; Alphaproteobacteria; Candidatus Pelagibacterales; Candidatus Pelagibacteraceae. The record is from RNAcentral.